GAUUCUCGUGAACAGUCAUCUAGUGCUUUACUAAUAACCACUUUGUAUCUGGCAGGUGAGGAAGGUGAGUGGUCCUGGCCGUUCUCUGGGAACACCGAGCCUCAGGUGUGUCUUCCCCUUACCUGCCCGCCACCUCGCCUCGCCCUGCUGUCUGGCUCCCACCAGGGAGACGCAUGCCAGUCCCCGCUCAACUGCUCGCACCAGUUCACCUUCGCUCCUACCUGUCUUGGGGCAUUUUUUACAGGUGACGGCACGUAGGCCUCUGAUAUCCCCUUCACUCCUGUCCAUCCUGCAGCCUCCAGACACGUGAGUUGAUGCCUUGGGUCCAUGCCAGACUUACUUGUUGGACGCCUGUAGAUAUGAAUACUAU
Molecule: long non-coding RNA, 370 nt
Organism: Scylla paramamosain (green mud crab)
Lineage: Eukaryota; Metazoa; Arthropoda; Malacostraca; Decapoda; Portunidae
Exons: 3
Source: RefSeq, a predicted model, not a curated record